RNAcentral lists this ribosomal RNA (492 nucleotides) under uncultured bacterium. RNAcentral's name for it is "partial 16S ribosomal RNA". It matches the Rfam family "Bacterial small subunit ribosomal RNA", at positions 29 to 507 of the family's 1533-position model. The record is from RNAcentral.
AGUGAACGCUGGCGGUAGGCCUAACACAUGCAAGUCGAACGGCAGCACAGUAAGAGCUUGCUCUUACGGGUGGCGAGUGGCGGACGGGUGAGGAAUACAUCGGAAUCUACUUUUUCGUGGGGGAUAACGUAGGGAAACUUACGCUAAUACCGCAUACGACCUACGGGUGAAAGCAGGGGAUCUUCGGACCUUGCGCGAUUGAAUGAGCCGAUGUCGGAUUAGCUAGUUGGCGGGGUAAAGGCCCACCAAGGCAACGAUCCGUAGCUGGUCUGAGAGGAUGAUCAGCCACACUGGAACUGAGACACGGUCCAGACUCCUACGGGAGGCAGCAGUGGGGAAUAUUGGACAAUGGGCGCAAGCCUGAUGCAGCCAUACCGCGUGAGUGAAGAAGGCCUUCGGGUUGUAAAGCCCUUUUGUUGGGAAAGAACAGCAGCAGAUUAAUACGCCGCUGUUCUGACGGUACCUAAAGAAUAAGCACCGGCUAACUUCGUG